AGGUUACUGCUAUCGGUGUUCGCCUAAGCCAUGCGAGUCAUAUGUUCGUAAGAACAUGGCGUACUGCUCAGUAACACGUGGAUAACCUGCCCUUGGGUCCGGCAUAACCCCGGGAAACUGGGGAUAAUUCCGGAUAACGCACAUAUGCUGGAAUGCUUUAUGCGUAAAAUGGAUUCGUCUGCCCAAGGAUGGGUCUGCGGCCUAUCAGGUAGUAGUGGGUGUAAUGUACCUACUAGCCCACGACGGGUACGGGUUGUGAGAGCAAGAGCCCGGAGAUGGAUUCUGAGACAUGAAUCCAGGCCCUACGGGGCGCAGCAGGCGCGAAAACUUUACAAUGCGGGAAACCGUGAUAAGGGGACACCGAGUGCCAGCAUCCUAUGCUGGCUGUCCGGGUGUGUAAAAUACACCUGUUAGCAAGGGCCGGGCAAGACCGGUGCCAGCCGCCGCGGUAACACCGGCGGCCCGAGUGGUGAUCGUGAUUAUUGGGUCUAAAGGGUCCGUAGCCGGUUUGGUCAGUCCUCCGGGAAAUCUGACAGCUCAACUGUUAGGCUUUCGGAGGAUACUGCCAGACUUGGAACCGGGAGAGGUAAGAGGUACUACAGGGGUAGGAGUGAAAUCUUGUAAUCCCUGUGGGACCACCUGUGGCGAAGGCGUCUUACCAGAACGGGUUCGACGGUGAGGGACGAAAGCUGGGGGCAUGAACCGGAUUAGAUACCUGGGUAGUCCCAGCCGUAAACGAUGCUCGCUAGGUGUCAGGCAUGGCGCGACCGUGUCUGGUGCUGCAGGGAAGCCGUGAAGCGAGCCACCUGGGAAGUACGGCCGCAAGGCUGAAACUUAA
RNAcentral lists this ribosomal RNA (838 nucleotides) under uncultured archaeon. RNAcentral describes it as "bacterial SSU rRNA". It matches the Rfam family "Archaeal small subunit ribosomal RNA", at positions 21 to 859 of the family's 1478-position model. The record is from RNAcentral.